Molecule: long non-coding RNA, 1028 nt
Organism: Mauremys reevesii (Reeves's turtle)
Lineage: Eukaryota; Metazoa; Chordata; Testudines; Geoemydidae
Exons: 4
Source: RefSeq, a predicted model, not a curated record
GUUGUCAGAAGCCCAGCAGGGAAAGCCACUUGCGGCUGCGAUGCGCACAGGAGCCGGGGGGGGGGGGGGUUUACAACCCAAGGGGGGCUGCGGAGCUAGUUCUCCCUGGCUCGGAAGCCAGGAGCGCAGCGCAGAGAAGGGGGCAGCAGCAGCAGCAGCGGCAGCUGUUGCCUCAGUGAUGACUGCAGCAGCAUGGCUGUGAUAGACAGUGCCAGCCCGUACUCACUCUCCGCCCUCCCACCCGCUCACACUGCAGCCUUCAGGCUCCGGGAGCCAUCUUGCUUCACCACAUGACCGGCUUCUCCUUCUCCCUGGCCAGUCUGCGGAUGACUGCUGUCAAACUGCCAGUAUGAAAAUGGGACAACUGAGGCACCAGCAGGGGCAGGGAGCAGCAGAGGAUGGUUACGGUGGUAGGCAUGUGUGCACGGUGUGUGAGCAGCUGCGGGUGAAGAGGAAGACUCAGGCUAGGGGCCUGGGAAGGGCAGGGUGGCAACAAGUCCCAGGUCUGGUUCAGAACGGUUCUUAAGAAUAUGGAGUCAAGUUCAAGAUCUGGAUGUCCUGAUCUUCAAAGCACUCCAUGACCUGGGCCCCACAUACCUAGAAAUAUCUCCUAAAACUCCAGGAUGAGGACUGUAGUCGACAGCUGUGCUCCUCAGGCACACUGGAAUAUACAUUGUAAGAGGCCAUUAAUGAAAGCUCAAUUGAACGAUCAAAUUUAUGAGCUCUUCCAUUCCAUUCCAUUCUGUUUCUCUUUGGAUUGUGAGCUCUCUCAUGGGAAAGACCAUCUUCAUUUUAUGUCACGUACAGUGCUAAGCACAUUGUCAGUGCUUAAUAAUGCACUGCUGGGGGGAAGCUCCUUAUUUUUCAAUGAAAGACAAUUCUAAGCCCUUUCCUGGCUACUGAAUAUACCCAGAAUGUUUGGCAAACAUUCACUGCUCCAGAGAUUAUGUUAUAUGUAGUAUUUUCUGGUGUUACCUUGAUGUCAGUUAAACAUUCAGUGUAAAGAGCAGCAUUUCUAUCCAGCAGCA